Molecule: ribosomal RNA, 504 nt
Filed under: uncultured bacterium
Lineage: Bacteria
Description: bacterial SSU rRNA
Rfam family: Bacterial small subunit ribosomal RNA
Source: RNAcentral
AUUGAACGCUGGCGGCAUGCUUUACACAUGCAAGUCGAACGGUAACAGGCCUUCGGGUGCUGACGAGUGGCGAACGGGUGAGUAAUGCAUCGGAACGUGCCCAAUCGUGGGGGAUAACGUAGCGAAAGUUACGCUAAUACCGCAUAAGCCCUGAGGGGGAAAGUGGGGGACCGCAAGGCCUCACGCGAAUGGAGCGGCCGAUGUCAGAUUAGCUAGUUGGUGGGGUAAAGGCCCACCAAGGCGACGAUCUGUAGCGGGUCUGAGAGGAUGAUCCGCCACACUGGGACUGAGACACGGCCCAGACUCCUACGGGAGGCAGCAGUAGGGAAUCUUCCGCAAUGGACGAAAGUCUGACGGAGCAACGCCGCGUGAGUGAAGAAGGUUUUCGGAUCGUAAAACUACUGUUGUCAGAGAAGAACAAGUUGGAGAGUAACUGCUCCAGCCUUGACGGUAUCUGACCAGAAAGCCACGGCUAACUACGUGCCAGCAGCCGCGGUAAAGUAG